CGGAAGGUCAGUCCGCGUCGGGUUAGUCGAUCCUAAGGUGAGGCCGAUAGGCGUAGCUGAUGGAUAACAGGUUAAUAUUCCUGUACUAUGAUAAGUCGUUGAACAUGAGGGGACGUAGAAGGGUAGAUCAGCCAGCCGUUGGUCGUGCUGGUUCCAAGCCUGUAGGUGAUGAGGCGGGGGUUAAAAGACCCGCUGAGCUGAGGGGUGACGGCGAGCCCGAAAUGGUGGAAGUGAUUGAGCCCAUGCUAUCAAGAAAAGCCUCUAGGGAGACUUAUUGUAACCGUACCGCAAACCGACACAGGUAGAUGGGUAGAGAAUACCAAGGGGAACGGGAGAAUCUUCGUUAAGGAAUUAGGCAAACUAGAUCCGUAACUUCGGGAAAAGGAUCGCCUGAGUAGAGUGAGAAUAA
This 409-nucleotide ribosomal RNA is filed under the name uncultured eukaryote. Its description in RNAcentral is "bacterial LSU rRNA". It matches the Rfam family "Bacterial large subunit ribosomal RNA", at positions 1358 to 1770 of the family's 2925-position model. The record is from RNAcentral.